RNAcentral lists this long non-coding RNA (30200 nucleotides) under Medicago truncatula (barrel medic). Its description in RNAcentral is "long non-coding RNA (MTRU_LNC003628)". The record is from RNAcentral. Lineage: Eukaryota; Viridiplantae; Streptophyta; Magnoliopsida; Fabales; Fabaceae.
UUUCCUUAGGGUUUCUGGCUGCGUACCUCAAUCUCUCCCAUAAUCCAAAUUCCAUCUCCCAUAUAAUCCAAAUUUCAUCUCCUUUAAUUCGAUUUUCCCAUUGUUGCAUCAUCAGGUUCGAUUCUAAUUCCUUUCCAUCUCCUUCAAUUCAUUUCCAAUGAUGAAUUUGUUUCAUUUUCUUCCCAAUAAUUUGAUUCAUGCUUAUGUUUCUUCUUAAUUUUACCUAUUUUAAUAUAAGUUGUGUUUGAAUUUAAUAUGGUUAGUUAUAAUUUUACCUGUUAUGACUAUAUAUGAUUAUAUGUUAUCGAAAAAAGGAAAAAAAAAAAAGAAAAGAAGACGAAGCUCUCAAUUAUACGACUAUAUAUGACUAUAUAUGAUAUGAUUAUAUAUUUAAGAUCUUAUGUUGAUAAUUUUAAGAAAAUUCAUGUGUAUCUAGAUUCUAGACACUACAGUAGUAGACGGUGAUAUUGCAAUUGUUUCCUUGGCCUAUUUUAGAAACUUUAUUUCACUAUUUUGUAUUGAAUUUAAUAUGGUUAAUUAUAAUUUUAACUAUUUUGAUUAGUCAUAUAAUUAUAUGUCUAUAUCUGAACUAUAAAAUUAUAUGUUGUCUAUAUCUUAGUGUACUUAGCCUUUGGAGCAUUUACUAUUUUGUGAAUUGUAUAAUUAUACUGUGAAUUUGUACUCAAGACAACUUGUCCAAUACCACACUGCAGAAACUACACAAUAUUCAUUUUUUACUGUCAUUCAUGAGUGCCAUUCAUUUUGAAGUUUAGAAUUUUCUACAUACAGCUGUUUAUGAUUUUUGUUUUUUAACUUUAGAUAUGACUAUCGAUAAGGAAGUGAGUUCUAAUGCAACCUUUAAUGCUUUAAUAUCCACAUACGAAAAUCAGGUAAAAUUGCAUAAUAAGUUGUUUAUCUUAUUCGCUGCCUUGUUGGUAUUUCUUAAUUGAAAAUAACAUGUUAUUCAUCUUUUUAGCAGGCUGAAAAUACUCUAUCACAAAUGCCUACACCAGAACCACCCCAAACUAUUGAUUUGGACAAAGAUCAAGGUGACAAUGUUCAAAAGAAAAAGAAAAGGAAAGUCAGAGAAGCAGCUACAAAGAAUGUUUCUAAUGCUGAUGAUCCUAAUGCUGAAGAUCCAGGUAAAAGAAAACCUUGUAGACCUAAAUCUUGGGUUUGGGAUCAUUUUAUAAAAGAAAAGGGUCGGGCUAUGUGUAAGUGGUGUAAAAAUGCAUCUUAUGCUGCUGAUUCACACAAUAGUGGAACCUCCAAUUUAUCAACUCAUUUAAGAAAACAAUGUAAAAAAUUUCCCAAACAUCUUGAUCCUAACUAUGAUCCUAACCAAACCAUUCUUAGCCUUCAAGAUAGUAAAGGAACCAGUAGUAAUAGCACAAUUGUUGCUGUCCAUUUUGACGUUGAUGUGUCUAGACAAGCUUUAGCUAGAAUGAUAAUUGUGGAUGAGUUGCCUUUUUCAUUUGUUGAAAAUGAAGGAUUUCGUUAUUUUAUGAGUGUUACACAACCUAGACUCCCGCUUCCGGGAAGGCUUGCAAUUGCUAGGGACUGUUUGAACCUUUACACUAGUGAGAAACAUAAGCUAAGAAACAUGUUUACUAAAGCAAAUCAAAGUGUUUGUCUAACAACUGAUACAUGGACAUCUGUGCAAAAUAUUAAUUAUAUGGUUCUAACUGCACAUUUCAUUGAUCAAGAUUGGAAGAUGCAUAAAAGAAUUCUUAAUUUUUGUCCAAUCACAUCUCAUAAGGGGGAGGUAAUUGGAAAAAAGUUUGAGAAGUGUUUGGAGGGUUGGAUGAUAGAUAAGGUUUUCACCAUCACUGUUGAUAAUGCUAGUUCAAAUGAUCUUGCUAUCUCUUACCUGAAAAAUAGGAUGGAGGAUUGGAAUUCACAUCCUUUAAAAGGGGAGCAUUUACACGUUAGGUGUUGUGCCCACAUUCUUAACCUUGUUGUAGGUGAUGGGUUGAAGUCAAAGGACAUGCACUCUUCAAUUUCCAAAAUUAGGAAUGCGGUUCGAUAUGUUCGUGGGUCAGCUAGUCGUUUGGAUAGGUUUAAGAUAUGUAUUAAAGAAGCUAGGAUACAAGACAAGUCUACAGUGCAGUAUGAUUGUCCCACUAGGUGGAACUCCACCUACCUUAUGCUUGAAAGUGCAUUGAAGUUUCAAAAGGCAUUUAAGAGAUUAGGUGAGAAGUGUGUUGAGUAUGCGAUGUUGGAAGGUGGUGUUCCAAAUAACGUGGAUUGGGAUAAUGCUAAAUGUUUUGUGAAAUUUCUGAAGUUGUUUUUUGAAAUCACUAAGAAGGUGUCAGGUUCAACUUAUGUAACAUCUUCUACGUAUUUCAUGGAACAUUGUAAGAUAUUGGGUGGAUUCAAUGCUUGGAUGGGAUGUCACAAAGAUGACCCUAUACUUGCAAAUAUGGCUACCAAAAUGACAGCAAAAUAUAGCAAGUAUUGGGGGGACGUCGCGAAGAUGAAUAUGUUGGUCUUUAUUGCUGUAAUUUUUUAUCCUCGUCGUAAGUUCCAAUUUAUUAAUUGGGGAUUGAAUAAGUAUUAUGAAAAGGAAGUUGCUGAUUCUUUGUGUGAUAAGGUAAAGGAAGCUUUAAACAAAAUGUUUGAAAGCUAUAGUCGUUUCUCAAAUAAAGGCCAAGCAGAAAGUGUUUCACAAGAAAUAGAAGGUUCAUAAUUUGUUACAGAAGAUGUGGAUGAUCAAUUUGAGAAGGAUAUGGAUCAAGAUCCGAAUUUGAGUCAAACUGAAGUGGAUAUCUAUCUCUCAGAGCCUAGGGAGAAGAAAAAUCCUGAUUUUGACAUCUUGAAUUGGUGGAAGGUGAAUUCCACCAAAUACCCUACUCUUGGUCUAAUAGCUAGAGAUAUAUUGGCUAUGCCAAUAUCAACUGUUGCUUCGGAGUCUGCUUUUAGCACUGGGGGUAGAGUUCUUAGUUGUUAUAGGAGCUCUCUUACUUAUGUAAGUUGGAACCUUAAAAACAAUAAAUCUGACUAGCUCAAACUGAUUCAUACAAGGGAUUUUUAACCGAUUUUCAAUCAAUUCGAUCUAUUUUUUAUUUAUCGAUUCUGAAACCAGUUGGUAAUUUGAAUUUGAGAAACAAAAUACUAGUUCUCAAGCAACCAACCAAUCCAGUUUUUCACAUCUUAAAAAGCAUUUGUUGGCAACCUUGAAUUAACCAAAAGAAGAGAGAGCAACUAAGAAACACAAAAAAGAACGUUCUACAUUAUAUCAAUGUAUUGAAAACCUGUCUUAAAAAAAGUAUCGAAAACCCUCUAUAACAUUAAACUGCACUGUUGCAUGGGAAUUGAAUUGAUCAUGUUCAUCAAUUAAUACAUUGCUAAGACGGUGGUUGCAUUCAACUCAAAACCUCAACCCAAUUAAACACUAAGAAAUUCUAUAAGCCUUUAAACCGUGACUUCAUUCUUCUCAAAAUCUGGCAUUAACAAGUGACAUAAUCCACAGAUGACGCCAAUAACUUGAGCAGAAACCAAAAAAGUCAUCACAUAAAAAUCAACUUUCUCGAUUCAAUGACACCUGCACGCAUCAACACCACAAACGACAACUUUUAACAGAACAGAAUGCAAGAAGAAAUAUAGACUUAGGCCCUGUUUGGAUGAACAGCUUAAUUAAGCGUUUAUAGCAUACACACUUGUUUUUGUCUAUAAGCUAGUUCUAUAACAAAAUAAAAUAAAGUCAAACCGUUUUCAUAAACUAUCAUGGAAAACGUAUGGAAAUAAGCAAACAUCAAUUUAUGGAAAUAAGCUAAACCAACUUAUGGACAUGUCAUAAGCUGUUUCCGUAAGCUCUCCAAAACAAUUUGUCAAGUGCUUGAGCCAGCAGAUAAGCACAAAUAAAUAAGCUAAUCUAAAUAAGCCCUUAAAACAAUUUAAAUUACUAUUUUCUCCUUCAAUGUUGUGGCAGAGGAAAAAUAUGGUACAUAAUAUUUUUACCUGUUAUAUGCUACUUCGCUGGAAACUUGACUUCACAAUAACCUGCUGAGAUUCUUGAUAAGUAGUUUCAAAUUCUUUUUGGUACUUUCAUCACCAGUAAAACCCACCAUAUCAGAGGUAAUAUUCUGCAAACAUACAACCAAAAAAAAACAUGAGAAUUUUUUUUCUUCACAAUAAUUAGAUUUAAUCAGUUUUGAAAUUAGAGUCAAACCUCAAUGUUCUUCAAGGUAAAUAUAAGUGUGUGUAUGGACUUCUGGAUCAGCUCAGCGUUCUCAUUGGUCAUAAUCGUUGAAUGUGCCCUUCUGAAUACACAACGGGAAUAUUUCAAUUAGUUACCAUGUUUCAAGAGAGUUGAAUUAGUCAUCAUACUUAGAGAAUGAUCUAACUAUCAAUGUGAAAUACACAGAUUUUUGAAUCGGUUCAAUUCUCACAAGUUGCAUAUUAGGAUAAACAUAAUAGGUUAAUGAUUUUUCUCAUGCAGUGGAUGUAAUAAUAAGAGAACUUCAUGUGAAAUUUCAGUUUUAGGGUCUUCAACUGAACAGGUUACAAACGCGCAAAUCUUAUCACAUACGGAGACGUGCUUAUCAAUAUACGAAUGGCAACUGAUUUAAACUUAGGAUGAGGGCAUCUGUGUUCUCGAGCAGGCCACACAACCUCAUAUUUUUCCCAUUAAAUCUCUGACAAGUCUCCUCAAUCAUAAUUUAUAUCAAGAGGUUAUUGAGUUUGUCACAUCCCCUACACAAAGGACAAUGCGCUACAUAGCUACAUACAUGUAUGCAAUUAUGCAUGAUAGCCAAAUUAGUCGUACAGAGAAGCCAUUGGUGUUUAGGCAACUGACCUCAAAUCAUCAGAAGCUAGGGUAAGGCUUCGGGUCAAACUCUCAACUUCCUUCAAUAGGCCGCUAUCACGGACCUCGGCCAACAAAGGUUGAACAUCUAGAGCCAUGGCUUUCAUCUGAGGCAUCACUACAUCAAAACGAAAAUACGGGCAUGAGAAUGCAUCAUAUAGUAAAGGAAUAGAGAGAUGACACAUGACUACCAUAAAGCUGCAGACACAUAUUUAGACACCAUUAUCAUUUUUAAUAACUCAUUUUACGGCAUUAAUGAGCAUAAAAUUCUUAUUUCUAAGGCACUAAUGAACAAUCUUUUAUCAGUUUAACUCCUACCAAAGUCAAAGAUUAUGUCCAAGACAUCACCAAUAGAAGUUAGGGUAAGAGAGGCACAUGGAAGAAACUAUUUCUUCAUUCAUUACCAUGCAUUAAUCCAUUUUCUAUUGGCAUGAAAAUUGUCUGAAUCAACAAUACGAUCAAGAGAAUUAUUUCCACAUGCCAAGAACAGAAGUAAAGUAACAUCACACCUGUGUAAGAAGUGGUCUUGCUUCUUCCAUAACAGCAAAAACUCGUUCAGCCAAUGAGUAGCUGUUGACGAUACCAAUUCCCUCUACAUCUCGUCCAAGACGGGUAUAUAUUCCCACCAUUUCAUCCAAACUUACUCCUUGGUGACCCUUGAUCUUUUCUCUAUCGCACACAAUGAGACCUUCUUUAGCACAUUUUUCGUCAAGAGGACCAACUGAAGGUGUCGGAAUUGGAUCACGAGGAUUGAUGUCGAUUUUAGUUUCCAUCAAAAGACCUGACUGGUUAACCUCAACGAAUGAGUUCUUUGGUAUAAUUGUUUUAUCGUCUUCUAUCUGCAAAUUGAAAACUUACGUUUAAUAGAAUCCAAAAACUAAAAAUGAAAGUCAAACCAACGCAAGAUUAUUAUUAACACUUGGAUAUUAGAGCAUGGUUAUCAAAUCAAGAUUCUAACCGUGAAUCGAAUCUUAUUAUGAAGUGUAAGAUACAUUGUCAGUUUGUCAAGAAAAUAAAUGCUAUUUUUAAGUAAGAAACAAAAGACAUAACAAAAUUAUAUGUUGGUAUAUCAUAGUGAAUCGGGAUUCAUCGCAAUAAAUUGGGAUUCACAAUGGGAUUCAUGUCCAAAUAGAUACACACUAGAGAUUCGUAUUGAUUGGUUUCAAUUUAGCAUCAAUUGAGACACUAGUCACAUGUAUCAUAGGAUAUUUAUAACCAUGUAUUAGAGUCAUCAAUGAAAUUAUGGUACUGAAACAAACCUCGACAACUGCCUCAAUACUUUUCAAGGAAGGAUUAACGCGAAUGACAUUGCCAACAGUGACCCCUCUGAUUCUCACAGGUGUUCCGGUGCUUAUACCACAAGCUUGAGCAAACUCGAAAACUGCCGUGUACUUUCUGAAUUUGGAAUUUAUUUGGAAUGCUCUCAACCAAGCCAUACUGAGCACAAAUAGUAUCGUACCAGAUACCAAAAAUAGUCCAACCCCACCUUCCCAGACACUAUUACGACCGAACCCAAAAUCACUUAAUGGAACCAGUGUUUGCUUCCAAAUACGUCUAGGAAUGUCGAAUACAACUGAAAGUGGAUUCUUUGUUUCUGAACUAGAUGACUGUUUUUUGACAUUGCCUGUAUCAGAAGAUAUAGCUCUAAUCUUGUUGAUUUUAUUCCGAUUUCGAAUUGAAAGCGGCGCGAACUUUAAUGAGUUGCCUGGUAGAGAAAUCAGACAUGAAGAAACAGAAGUUGGCAACGAUGAGAGAUGGAUUGCAGGGUUGCCAACCAUCUUCAAACCAACCUCCUUGCUCAAAACUCAGAAGUUCUAUCUAUCAAGGAAAAAAAGUUUUGAUCUGCAGUAACUGCACAAUUGAACUAGAAAUCAAAAUCAUAUAAAUCUUAACCAGGAAUGAAUUCAUAAAAAUUGAAAAGGGGGACAAAAAGGUAAACCCAAAAUAACAUUAAUCAAUUAUUUAAUUCCAAAUAAUCUAAUAACAAAAGUAAUUUAACACAAAAAAGAAUUCAAGAAACAAACAACAACCAACCCUUAUCCCACUAAAUAGCGUCGACUACGUAGAUCAAAUUAAAUUACGUCAUAAUGUUCUAUCAUAAACCAUACUUCGAUCCAAAUUAAUCUCUAUAUCUUCUUAAUAGUUUCUCUUAUAGUUCUUCUAAGUCUUCAUCUAACUCUAGUGAUUCGAUUGCCCUCCAUCUGGUCUACCCUCCUUACUACAUAAUCAACAUUCAACAUACCCAAACCACCUAAGCCUAUUUUCCACUGUCUUUUCUACUAUAGCUGCUACCCCAACUUCCUCUCUAGUCUCUAAUGUCAUUUCUAAACCUAUCUCGUAUAGUCUUACCACACAUAAUUAGCCAAAAUAACAUGAAUCAACUAUUUAAUUCCAAAGAUUCUAAUAACACGAGUAAAAAGAUUACACAAGAUGAAUCCAUUAAACAAACCAAAUCCAUGAAGAUAGUCAUAAUAACAGGGUUAGGAUUAAAAAUUUCACCUUUUCCAUAAUGUGAACAUUAGUAUUAUAGCAGAAAUGAAAAAGGUAGCAAUUUGAGACCAAAUUAAUAGUGGGUUUGAGUUCUAAUUAUCACCCUAAUCAUGAUCCCAGGAAAAAUUAAAAUUGGGUUUCAUGUAAAAAUGCUGCAAUUUCAGAAUGAUGAAUAAGCAUAAAGGUAUGUAUGAUAUUGAAGGUAAUGAAAAUCAUGAAAAGUUGAUUAUUUUGGAUGAAUGAGUUUAGAAAGAAAAUUGAAGACCCAAUUAGAGAAAAGAAUGAAAUUGAAGUGUAGAAAAGAGUAGGAGUGUGAAAGAUACGUACUUUAGAGUGUUGAUGGAAGGGAGAGAGAGAAAUCUAAGAAGCAUGAAUCAUAGACAUCACCGAAUCGAAGAAAAACGUGCAGCAGACAAAAACGUUGUAGUUGUAGUUACUUUCGAAUAUUCUCAUUCGGAUUUGUUUUGUUGGAAUGGGAAAAAAAUAGUUUUGGUUUAAACCAACCUUUGACCUUCAACUUUGAGUAAGCUUGUCAUUUUGGUUCUCUAACUUUAAAAAUAACACUUUUGGUCCUUCAUCAUUGUAAGUGUUUAUAAACACUUUCUUUUUAACAUUUAUCCUCUUAUUAACUAAAAUUCAUGUGAGUCUUGCAUUUUAAAAAUGAAUUUGACAUAAAAUUGUGAGACUCAUAUUAGUUUUAUCUAACAAAAGGGUAAAUGUUUGAGAGUUUUACCUAAACGUAUCGGCCAAAAGUGUUAUUUUAAUAGUUAGGGGACCAAAUAUGAAAGUUUGUAAAAAUUGGGGGUCAAAAACGCGUUUAAGUCAAUAGUAUUUGACUAAAAUAAGAGAAUAAUUACAUAAGUACUUGAAUAUAUCGUUAAGUUUUAUCUCAAUUGACAACAAUAUCAAAAUUGUUAGACUGUGCGCUAUGAUCGGAGUUCGAACCUCACUCCUCCACUCAUCAAAAUUGUUAGACUGGGCGCUAUGAUCAGAGUUCGAACCUCACUCCUCUACUUAUGUGUUUUUCCAAUAGUUGUUGUUAUUUCGUAUUAAUCAAUUGAAAUAUAUAUUUAGUUUGCCUGUUUUACUCAAGAUAAAGUAUUAAUAGAAGAUAUAUUUUGGAGUGCUUAUAAGGUUCUUAUAUAUUCACAAAUGGAAAUAUUUUAUAUUGGAUUUAAUUCAUAUUCACUUUCUUGUGAAAGCUUUUUCCUUGUCAAUUUAUUGUAUUUAUCAUAUCAUUAAAAAUAUUUGAUUUUAAUCCGAACUAAUUCUAAAGUUACACAUGUGAUUGGCUGACAUAGAAAAUGUAUCAAACUUAAACUUUUACAAUUUUAAUUACCUUUAAAUAUUUUGUUGGAAAAAAAAAACUCAACCAUUACGUGUUUUUAUUAAAAUAUUAACGUGCUAUAUUUACUUUGUGUAAAAGAGGUAAUAAUUUUUAUCAUAGUCACUAAAUCAGUAAACCGGUGCUUAUAAAAAAAAUAGUCACUAAAUUGGCCCACCUUUAACAUUCUUCGCACCAAAGUCACCAAGCAAUGAUCACAAAUGUGUUUGACCACAAUACCGUCCAAAUAUUUUAACAUUAAUUUCUUUUUGUUCACAUAUUGCCAAUUUAUAAUGUGAAGAAUGGAGACUCCUUUAAGGAGUGGGAGAAGGUGGGUACUUAGGUAUAGGGUGGGGAAGAUGAAUGGUAUACGGCGGAAGGAGAAAAUUAAGUAAUACCGACACUUCAUAUUAAAGACGUGUCUGAGUGUGUGAUAUGAAAUUACCUAUAAUGGGUGUUUAUAUGACAACAGCCGGCCAUUAAUUUAAUUACUUUAGAUCUUGAGUCCCAUUUUUGUUUUUCAUUGUAUAUAUUUUGAUUGAGUAAUGUUAUUUAUCGCAACACAUUUUCUAACACUCUUUCAGAUGCGAAAUUCAGAAAGAUACAACUAAUUUCUAAAAGGAUUAGCACUUGUGCUACAAUUUUUAGCUAUACAACAUCACAGAUUAGAUUGCUCACACUUAGACCAGUAUCUUUCUCUCAAUCUUUCGUUUUUGUUUACAUCAUUUGCAAGUUUCUACAAUGAGUUUUACCAUUUUAUUAAUAACAUUAGCUCUAAUAUCCUUAUCACAACCGUCCAAGGUGAGAUUCAAACCAUGUCUCUUAUAAAGUUACAAUGUUAAGCUCUAACCGCUGAGUUGACACCUCUCGGACGUAAUGAGCUUUACCAUAUGAUAUUUCUUGUUAGAAAUUAGAAAGUGGCAGUCACCUCUCGGACGUAAUGAGCUUUACCAUAUGAUAUUUCUUGUUAGAAGUUAGAAAUUAGAAAGUGGCAGUAAAGGAAAAGAGACUAUUUUCAAAUGAAAAAUUAAUAAAUAAAUAUAUACAAUAUACAAAUUAUCUUAUAUAUAUAUAAUUGUUUCAUGAACAUUACAAUAACUCUUGGUUCUAAAAUUCUUACAUAAACUUCAUGCUUUACAAAAAAUAACAGCAUGCAAUACAAUAUAUAUAUCAGUAAUAUGUAAAUAUGUCCAAACAAACCUACAAGAAGAAAGCUGAAGAGGAAAUAACGAAUAAAUAAAUUGACUUCAGACAUUAAGAAUAUUAUACUUUGAUGAUGAUACUAAUAUAUUAAUAUCAUUUUGCUUCUUGCUUUUGCAUAUCAUCUUCUGUUUUCCAAACAACACCCUGCAAGCUUGUUGAAAGUUUUUUGUAGAACUGCAAAGGGUGAGGCAAAUGGUUUUCAAUUAGAUUUCAAAGUGAUGACAAGUGUCACGCGUACAAAUUCCGUUAUCAUGAUAUAUUAUGACUUAAUGAUUAUACACCAACAAUAUAAGUAAUGAAACAUGAUUGGUGGCUGUGUACAAUUUGUUUACACUGUCAAUGCAUAGUUCUCACAAUUCACACAUUAUCAUGACAUAGAAGUUAGAACAUUCAUUUUUGAAACGUGGGAGUCAGAAAAAAGAUUAAUUUUGAUGCAUUCUCAAGGUGAAACUUUUUACACCGCCAACCAAUUACAAAACAUCAUUUGUAGGACUUCUAAGGUGGAUAUGAUUUGAGUCGAAUAUUUUGGAAUGAUUAUAUUUACACUGUCAAAGCAUAUCAAAUAAGUUCAUCAGAAAAUGUAGAACAAUUAAACAAAAAAAGGGGUAGAAGGAAACCUUAUGGAACUCCAACGUAUCUCCUUUUGCUUUCCUUACUUCAACCAUGUGAAGAGAAGGUGCCACUUGAAAUACCUAUUUACAAUGACAACCUUAAUACAAGAAUAUGACAUAAAAGUGUACCACAUUACAAAAACACAAAAAUGAAGAUCAUAUACCUCUGUGGCAACAUUAAGGUUUCCUUUCCUUCCAGCUUUCGAAUUUGCAAGCCUCAUCUGCAGGUAAUGGUUUAUUAAUUUCAUAAAACAUCAUUGAAUCUUUUGUCUUUGUUCGACUAGAAGCCGAUAUUGAGUUGCAAAAGUAUGGCUUACCUUGAAAUUUUUCUUCUGCACAUCAAAGCCAAGAGGUUUAGCAGCUUCUUCAAUCUUGUUGAUUAUCUCGUCUGCAGGAGAUUGCGACGUGAACCUUGUUUCCCUUUUAAAUCCCUGCAUAAAGAAUAAAGCAACACAAAGUUAACUAGUUUUAAGAAAAACAAAAUGCUUGUUUAUAGAUUAAAAUGAAUAUGCAUGUUUUUCCUUGUAUUUGAAUUCUCCAUCUCUUUCUGAAAAGGCCAAACCGCUAGCUUAUAACAAAUAGGUUAUAGUGUUUAAGCUCGUAUGAUCAAAAUAGGGUUGUUUGGUAACGAUCUUCUCUCACAAGCUUAAAGCAUUUUUUCACUAACGGUGUUUUUUCAUAUUGUACUACAAGUAAUGUGUACCUUAUAGUGUAUCAUUUUUCUCUAUUUUUACCCUCGUUAUCUUUGUUUGAAAACUUUAAACAUUAAUUAAACAUAUAUUUUUUAUGUCAUUUGUAUUUAUCAAUUACAAACACUUCAAAUUCAACCGGCUUGCUUAUCCGUCAUCAUCUAUAAGCUAGCUUAUAUGCUAUAAGUUAUAAAUUCAUCUGCUAUCAGCUAGCUUAUUUAUCAUGUGGUACUUUUUUCCAAACAAAGCUUAAAUAUUCAUCACAAUCAUGGAAUAUCUCGGAAAGAAUCUUAUUAUGUAAACUUGCAAACCUGUUCUACAUCAAACAAAUUUUCAAGGUUCAGCCCUCUAGACAUGGAAAUCAACUCAAAUGCAUUCAUGGAUGUUGGCUGCUCUUCUUUCUUUUCUGUCACAUGGUGCUCCUGUGAAUAUAUAUAGACAAAAUCCUUUAUGAUACAAUGUUCCAGAACUAAAAUAAAAUCAAAUAUCAAAACCAUAUUUAAAAAAUCUUCAACGUACUUCCGAAUCUUUAAAGACAGCUUCUACAUCGUCGAGGUUGGUUUCCCCACUUUCCUCAAAAACUGGAGGCUUAUAAUCUUUCUUAAACCAUUCAUCAUCCAAAAUCUCAGCCAUGGUGAUACGCUGCCAUACAGUUGAGGAAGUCAGAUUCGCAGGCAAAAAUUUAACUAAUUUGUGUAAAAAUAAACAUGACAAUGUAGUUGAUUAGUUUUUUUUUCUCUUUAGCCUUUUGUUGGAGUAGGAUAUAAUCUAAAUGUGCUUCUAACACUUUAGGGUCUGUUUCGUUUAAGAAAACAUUUAAUGUUUUUAUUAAUUAUUUUCAUUCUAAAUUGCAAAGCUGCCCCUUAUUUUUACUCUAUCUUCUGUUUUCACUAUUACAAAUCUUUGAAAACCAGAAACAUAGUGAAAACAAGGGGAAAUUUUUCAAUCAAAAGUGAAAACAUAAAACGAAAAUAAAUAAAGUUUUCUUAAACCAAACUGGCCCAAAAAUAUCUAUUAGCAUGAUUUACAUAACCAUGGAAUCAAACCGAUGCAGACUACGUCGGCCAAACUAGACCUUAUAAUCGUUAGAUUACAACUACAUUGUUAAACAGCGGCUAUAGCAGCACUAUAGCAUGGCGUAAUUUGAAAAAGUCACUAUUGUUCUGUGAUACACUAUUUACUACAAAAUGUUGUCAAAUAGCGGUGCUAUAGCACUGUUGGGUAGCAAAAUUUGAACUAACCGCUAUUUUCUGAGAUCAACAAUCGAUAAUACAGGAUUACAAACAGCCAAUUUACAUGACAAGAAGCAGACAGAUAAUAAAAUGUUGUUUCUUACAGUCAUGGGAUUGGGAUCCAAGAUUCGAGUUAUCAAUUUCCUUGCACUGAAAGAAAGCCACGGGGGGCAAGUAAAGUCAGCAGACGAGAUCUGUGGAUCAAGAAACGAAAGUCAUAAAAUGAAAACAAUUCAAACAGUAAAAUUGGAGGGGGGAAAAAUGUUCAAAUGGUGCGCACUCACUUUUUUAUACAGUUCCAUAAGAUUAGGGUCAUCAAAAGGCAAGUAACCUGCAACCAAUACAAAGAGGAUCACUCCACAAGACCACAAGUCUGCAGUUGCCCCAUCAUAGCCUCUAUCAUUAAGAACCUAUAUAUAUAUAACAAGAAUAUAUAUAGUUAGAAAGUGAUUCAAUAUGAAUUUAGAAAUACACACGACAAAGUAACAUGAAAUAAUGCGGCGUUUGUCUUUACCUCUGGAGCAACAUAAUUUGGAGUUCCACAUGUAGUAUGGAGAAGUCCAUCAUCCUGUAAAGAAAAUCAUUUUGUAAGAUAUGAAUCAACCGGUUUGAUGCAUGAGAACUUCAUCGAGUAUAACAACCAAGAAAAGAAAAAUUCAGAAGGCAAUGGAUCAUGCUUACCCUAACUUGCUGGGAGAGUGCACUCAAUCCGAAAUCGGAGACUUUAAGGUUGCCAUAAGCAUCUAAUAGCAAAUUUUCUGGCUGCACAAAGUUCAUGAAUACCAAUGAAAUUUAUGUUAAGAGUUUUUUUUUAUAAUUAUAUCAAUACAUUGUUCUGGCAUCAGCAUAUAUGAAUGUCUGACAAAUGGCUCUUACCUUCAGAUCUCUGUGAUAGACACCUCUGCUAUGACAAUAAUCAACAACAUUUAUAAGCUGCUGGAAAUACCUACGCGCUUCAGGUUCACCCAUCCGUCCAUGGUUUACCUUCACAACAAAUACUCCAUUAGACACGUACAAUAUUUUCCCCCAUGCAGUUAAAGAUGGAAUUCAUGUAUUUUGAUCCAACGCAACAACAUUUAAAAAACCAACAGAUUGUGAUUGAAUAAGAAAAUAAGGCUCAUGAUUUGCGGACUCCAUAUGUCACCAAUUAAUCACCAUUUUGAACUGAUUGAAAAUGAAACAACAAGAUUUCAUUUACUCACAAUUUUGUCAAAAAGCUCCCCGCCAGUCACAAACUCCAAAACAAUAUAUAUUUUUGUCCUGCUUCCCAUGACCUGUAAACAAAAAUGUUUCAACGUUAGAAUCAGAAUUUGACAAAAUAAUAAACUGUGUUGAGAAUGAACUUGACUUCUCUUAUUGCAGAUUGACUUCCUAAUAAAGUAAAUUUUGUUUAGUUGGAAGGUAUGCACUAGUGAAAAUGCUAGAGGAUACGCAAACAAGACAACACUAUCAUCAAAUUUAGUAUCUGCAUGGUUAGUGAGAUUAAUGAAAAGAAAUGUCAUCAUGUCAGCAACCUCAUAUAGUCGAACAACAUUUGGAUGCUUGAUUAACUUCAUGGUAGCAAUUUCCCGCUUGAUCUGAAAAAACACAUUAAAACAUAUAAGAGACUUGACUUCAUCCUGUGAGGGUCUAAGUGUUUGUUUGAAAUGAACAAAAUUUGAUGGAAAUAAAAGAUCAUGCAUGAAAACUGAAUUUUGUUCCUUUGUUUUGAUGUACAUAAUAACGCAGAAAGAAUAAAUUUACAUUUACAUGUGGAAUCCACACUCAAAAUGGUUUCCACCCCCCCAAGGCGGAAGGAAUGAAAAAGUUGUACCCUGUAUUCUUUUAAUAGUUUACAGGAUUGGCAUAUCAAACAUUAAUAUUUAUGUCAUUUCACAUAUAUCUUCUCAUUUUAUAUACACAAAUACAAUAAACCAAGAGAAAAGAAAAGUUUUAACAUUCUUCACUCUUAAUUUCUAACCUGCCAAACAACUAAAAAAUCAUCUCAUAUUCUACUCUUAUUCUUUCCGUCUACAAUCAUUAUUUACACUUUCUUUCCGAAACCAAACAAAGUCUAAAGCAACUACAAAUAGUUAUGCAAAAGAAUAAUAUGCAUCUGAGUUCUGAUGUCUAAAACCUCCUAAUGAUAUGUUUAACAAAAGCUAGACUUUGUCAGAAAAUUACUUAGCAAGGAAGUUUUAAAUUGCGGUUGCCAUUGCAGUUAGAUCACAAUCAUUGAUAUUACAGAAAAGAGCAGACAAGUGCAGCUCAUACAGCAAACAAUUAUGUCAUAUAAAUGUAUGUUUUUCAAGAAUUAAAUGAAGCAAAAGGACUAAGGGAAUCUCCAAAAACCACCUGCUCAGCCAUCUUGUGCUUGAGAACUUUCUCUUUGUCAAGAAUCUUGAGAGCCACGGCUUCACCUGUCUCAGAGUUCCUUGCAAAUUUCACCUUUGCAAAUGUUCCCUCACCAAUGGUCCUUCCAACCUCAUAGAUACCGACUCUACGCUUAAUUUUAGGCUGACUCAUUCUCUACACCCUUUUAAGCUUUUCCGUAAACAGAAAUUCUCCUCGCUUAUUAGGAAUCUCUACCUGAAAUGCAUAUCAGAAUUCAGUUCCUAAACUAAUCCAAAACUUAAACACUGAACAGCAAUGUGUGUGUUUAGGAAAACAGUUUAAUUCAUGUAUUAAGCAAAUUAGCUAGUAAUUUCAAAUUUUAAGCAAAACAAUAAUUUGAGUCCAAGAUGCAAACUAUUUAAAACUAUUCCUUCCUUUAAAAGAAAUAAUCACUAGUUUGGUGUAAUCAGGUGCUAGUGUGAUUUCACCAAACUCGCCGCCAAUUCAGACAUGCUCUAAGUACUAGAAAAUUCUUAGAGAUCCAACAACUUUCAACCAGCAAUGCAGUUAGAGAGAUCUAAUUGAUGCUAGAUUUAAGUUGAAGAGAGAAAAAUGAACAAUUUUUGGUAUGAGAAAAAACUUCAAAGUCUAUCUUCUAGUAAAUAAUAAACCAGAAUUCAGCUUGAAUAUGAAACAUCCAGUCAAUUUCAACAUUACACACCAAAAAAUCACAAACUUUAGACACUAGAUUUGUAUGAAAACCAUCAAUGUUCAAAAAGGUCCUUAGUUCAAAGAUCAUUCAUCAUGAAUUACUCACAAACAUCAAACAUCAAUCACCAAAAAGGGUACUAAUGAGACCCACCCCACAAAAAAAAAGACUCUUCAAAUCAAAAAGACAAAAGGAAACCUCCAAAAAAUCCUAAAAAUUCAAUUUUUAAAAGGAUAAAAUUGAACUUUAUAGUAAAGUUGGAAAAAUCAACAUAAAAACAGCUCAGAAAACCAAUAUAUGAUCCAAAGGGUUGCUGAAAAAGAAAUAACAAACCAAACCAAUCUUUUUUUUUUUUUUUUUUCAAAUUCAAUAACCAAACAUGCUGCACAAGACAAUAAGCUAAUAAGCUAUAUAUACAAAACAUGAGAGAGAGAGAGAGAAUACUUUGAAGAGAUAAAUGAUAUGGCAGUGGAAGGAAUGAAGAGAAGGUUGAUGAAUAUGUGCAGACUGUGAAGAAGAGUAUAUGUUUGGCUUUUGAUUAUGGCCAAAGGGUAUAGUAUAAGAGAAUUUUGAGACAACAACUAACAAAACCAGACAAAAAAUCUUUGUGCCUAAUUUUGCAUUUUCAUCAAUGAAUUAUGGGAGAAAAAGCUACAACAGUUACACAUCAGUGCUUAUCUGGUUUUCAUAAAAUGUUUGUCUUAAAAAUAAAUAAAUAAAAUAUUUGUGGAAAAAAACAUUGACAGAUAGGAAAAUAUUUCUGAGGUUGUUGUUCUUAACAGUUCUGCAAAAUCAUAAUUGUUUUGUGGUCACAAAUGUUUCUGUACAUCUCUUACAAGCUAUAUUGUGACACUUCAAUACAAAAAUUUGAGUUAAAAUGGUGUGGUGCUGAAUUGAUUUGCAGUGAGAAUAUUAUUUUAUUUUUUGUCAUUUGUUUUAUAGUCUUUGAUUUUGACCAUUUUCUUUAUUAGGUUGCUUUGGUUCAAUGGUUUUUGACUUCUUGUUACUUGAUAUAGAAUUUAACCAUUGAUUAGAAUUAUCUUUUGGUUAUACACACUUUAAGAAUUUUUGUUGAUUUAUAUGUUAUUUUUAAAUUGAUAUCAACACUUAUCUAAAAGAAUUUUAUUUUUUAAAUAUAUUGAAUAACCGAUCUACAUCGUCCUUAUUACAUACUAGAUAUAUCAAUUAUUUAGUGAACUUAAAACAUAAUUUUUUAUUAUAUAGAGACUAGAGGGACUGAGGGAAUAUUAUUUUAUGAAAAGUAUAUUUUGACUUUUUUUUUUUUAUAGAAAAGGGAAAUAUUUUAACUAUUUAUGGUAGGUAAAAAAAAGGUGGAAUAAUAAUAAGGAGUCACGUGUAUCAUAAGUUCCUAAAAAUAAUAAAAGUAAUUUUUAGUCCUUGAAAGCAAUAAAGUGGAAAAAUUUAGUAUAUGUCUUUUUUACUUUAUUUAAAAAUUUAGUCCUUUUUUUUUUUGAGGGAAUUAAAAAUUUAGUCCUUAAAAGCAAUAAAGUAUGUUGUCACGGUACUAAAUAAUUAUCUUUUGUUUAAGUAUCUGUUCUAGAUAACAAGUAUCUCUGGUGACGGGUUCAUAAUUUUUUAACAGUGGAGGCAUCAUAUAUAAAAUUAUCUUAUACGAUUUUUUAUAUUACGUAAAUUUUGAAUGAUUUUUCAUUUUUAAUAUCAAUAAAAAUAUUUUUUUUUUUUACAUAAAUAACUAAACAAUCAUGUUAUAUCUCACAUAGUUUCACAUAUUCUUGAUAAUAUUCAUAUUAUCAAGAAAGAAUUUGAGAUAUGUGACCAAGAGAGAAAUAAUUUGUAAUAGGUAUGGGUUAUAUGAUAAAAAUGUUAACUAUUGGUACAUUAUACUACUAAAAAAAAGUGUUUCUAAAUUUUUUGUGUUGGCACAAGCCCACACAUGUGCCAACAUGCAUCCGUCCCUGCUCCAGUGGCGGAACCAGGGGGUGACAAGGGGGAGCCACAUCCACCCUAUCUUAAAAAUAAAAAGUAAAAAUUUAUACACUUAAAAUUACCAUAAUGUCCUUCAAUUAAUAUGAAAAUUACCAAUUAGUGCAUGUAUUAUUAGUUCCGAAUCAAUUAUUGAUGAUUCUAAGUCACUCGGAAAGUGUAAAGUGUUUAAAUUUUGAAUGAUCGAUUUUUGGUUUAUUACAACUUAAAUGUGUUGUAUGCAAUAUGAUUCAUAUAUUUUAGUUUAUUUUAAUGGCGGCCAUCUCAUACUUUAUUGUCUGACUCUGCCAUUAAGUGUUUCUUCUAAUGCACUAUUUAAGAGUUUCAAAUUUAAAAAUUAUGUAAGGAUUGAGGUUCGAACUUCAAACGCUCUACUUGUCAGCAUUUCUCUUUCUUUAUUCACCAAACAAAGUAUUACCAAGGUAUGGAUUAUGAUGUCUUUUUUCCUUUUCAAGAGUGAAACAUUUUUUUUUUUCUCAAGAACUACUAAAUUGAGUCGACUAAAAUAACUCUUCACUCUAAUUUUAAAAAUAAUUCAUUUUUUUAAUAACAAAUCAUAUUCAUUUUCUUAAAUUAUUAUUCUCAAAAACAUUCUUAUAUCGACAUAUCUUAUCUUAAAAUCAUUGUUAUUGGCACUCAUCAUGUUAUCACCAACAAAAUACAUCUUUAGUUUGACGAUAAAUUUAACAAAUUCACAAUAGUGUUAUAAUUUUGCCGAAACUUCAAAGUGUAGAUUUUACGAAAUUCAUGCCAAAAUAGUGUGAUUCGGUCAAUCUAGGUAAUAUGUGAAAAACUUUUUGGUUGGUUUGUGAAUUAAACAAUAACAAUGUAUGUGUAUAACUCAACUUCUUCUAUAUCAUCUCUCUUGAAAAAAUUGUUCGCAUCUCCUCUUUAUUUUGUUUUUUUGUCAAACCUUUUUCUGACCUCUAUCAAGUUUCUUCUAACAUUAAAAUCACAUCCUUUGGUAUUGUUUUCUCUCCAAAAAACAACGCAAUGUUUCCCUUGCCCAUCAUAACCAUUUCUUUUCUCUUCAUCAACAGCAAGAUAAGACAAUUGGUUUUUUAUUAAAGGUGAUUUAAUAUGUAACAUCCCUAGGGUAGGGCCAACCAUAACUUGAUUGGAACCUUAAAAGAUGAGUUUUAUUUAAGAGUUCGGCAUAAAGGUAAAUAAAGUUUGAUAUAAAAAAUUUCAUUAAAAAAUCAAAUGAAAACUAUCUAAUAGAUGCUACCCAAAACUUGAGUUUGGUCCAUCAACAAGUGUUUUCUAUAUAUUCGACCCCUGAUAGUUUGAUUAGGUUAAGGUGUCUUCGUUAUAGUUGUAAUUUGUUCAUAGUUUUCAUCUCAUUUUUGUUUGAAUUAAAUUGGACAUAUUGUGACAUGUUGGUAGGAUACAAAACAAAUCAAAAUGUAGCAACUUCAAUCAAACAAUUUAAUUUAAGUGGUUAGUGAACUCUAUCAAAGAACGAAUCAAGUAAAUAAUUUAUCUCAAAUAUUAAAGGAUGAUGUGGUUUAUCAUCGUUGAAGUUGUUCUAAAGACAACCUUAAGCUUAAGCUCAAAUUAUAGUCUAAUAGACAGUCAUGAAUUCCACCAUCAAUAAUACUUUAAAGUACCGUAUUUUUAUUGGUAGUGUGACUAGCAAUGCAUAAAAUACAGGGUUAUGCUAACCGGUAUCCUUAAGGCAAUGGUUAAGGAAAUUAAAAAAAGAAAGUUUUAAGUUGAAAAUACCACUUUUUAGACUUUUGAGGAGUUGAAUGCACAAGUUCCAAUGCGAGAUUACUAUAUUUGCUUCUUCCAUCCCUCAAAAAAAAAAAAAAAUAUUCUUCCAAUGUCUCCGUGAGCUUAGUUCAGUUGGUAAGGACAACGCAUAAUAUAUGCAAGGUCCGAAAUUUGAACCUCGGACACCACAAAAAAAAUAUUUCUCCAAUAAUAUCCUACUAGGAUUGUUUUCAUGUGGAUCUACAUGGAGAUGUCGUAGUUUAAAAAAAUCUAUUUAAAAGUCUAUUUAACCAAAAUGAACACACUACAAAACAUAAAAUAAAUUUCUUUUAGAAAUAUUAGGCCAGGCUGGUAAGUAAAUAUGAAUAACUUUUUAUUAUUAAUAUUAGUAAGUAUAUUAGGUUUUAUACUUUGGUUUAGAUCAUAAAUUUUUCUAACCUUUUAUGUAAUUUAAGUUUAUUAACCUAAAUUAAUUUUUCGUACAUUUAAAUUCAUUAUAAACUAUAAUUGUGAUAUGAUAUUAUAUGUAGUCAUAUUUUCAUUUAUGCGUUCUCGCGAGCUUAACUCAGUUGAUAAACACAAAUGAACAAUGCAUUGAUGCAUAUUAAAAUUGAGUUUUGUAUUGGUAUAUCAGCUCUAUGUGUCUUGGAUGUGACUCUGAAACAAAAAAACAUUAUACUUUUGGAGAAUCAGUUUCUUUUUUUCUUUUAAGGGGUGUGCUGGUGCAUCAUCAAUUUGAAUCAAUAAUUUUCCACUUUACAUUACAUAGUUAAUAGUGUGUGUGAAUUUUUUGUUGCUAAGCUAUUAAAAAAAAAAAAAUCAUUCAAGACAAGUUUCAUAGUUAAAAAAAAAGACAGGUUUAAUAGUUAAUUGCCGUGAUGCAUUGUUAUUCCAAAUUCCAAUAUGUCGACACAGAUCUUUCAUGCCUUCUAAACGUACCAUCUAUUUCUAUCACAUGCCAAAGUAUUUUUUUAUAUUUCAAAUAAUACGACAAAAAUAAUUAUGAUUAAAAAACAACAAAUGAUUCGAUGCGACUGUUAGAAAAUCCAAUGCAAGUACUAAACAAAAAUAAUAAGAUGACUUCUGGUGUACACUCAUAAAUUAAGGUGUAUCGGUACUCCUGUUUUUUAAAUUUAUACACUACAGUCAAUUUUAUGAAAUAAAUAGUUAUUUGUCGGCACUUAUAUCUCAGAAAAACACAUCAUUCAUUGUUUAUAAGAAUCAUAAUAAGUUUUUUUUACAUAUUAUCGUAUAAAAUAAUCAAAGUUCUCUAUUACGAGCGAUAAAAAUUCAAAAAAAAAAUCAAUUUUAAUUCAUUGAUGCUUUUGGUGAAUACGAUUUUAAUCAUUAUAAUUAUAAAUGAUAAAAAAUAAUAUUUUUGUUCAAAAAAUAACUCAUUUAACUAUAAAUUUAAGAGUUUGGUGUACCAGUACACUCAAAUAUGUUAGGUGUACCGUAUAAUUUUCCAAAUAAUAAAUGUUUAAGUAAUUUUAAAUGAGACUUGUGUUUCAGGACAUUUUUUAAUGAUAGUUUUUUUUUUUUAUAAGCAUUUCUUCAUGAUAGCUUAAUAUAUACAACCUACAACUUGGAUAAAAAAUAAUUUAACCACACUAUCUCUUUUUUAUUCUGAAAAUGAGUAUUCAGCAUAUAUAAAUAUUUCUCGUAUAAUUGUGGUUGAUUAAGAUGUUUUUAAUUGAGCACUAAUAAAGAAGAGAUGUUUAAAUUAAAUUGAGCACCUAGAGUAUUAAAAAAACACGUCAAAUCAAGCACAAUAUUAGUGUUGGAAUGGUGUGAAAAGUGCAAGACUGGUUUCUGUCACCAAAUAGACAUUAAAUUAGUAUAAAUAAUUCAAAUAGGGUGUUUCGAUUUAAAAUACAAACAGAAAACUGAAAGAGACCAUAGAUAAAAUAAUGAAGAGAGUAAUUUAUAAAGAGAAACAAGAAAAAAAAAUUGUUUAAGCGCUUCUUUAAAAAAUAACAUUGAAGACGAAAGAAAUUAUUAGUAUUAAUUAAAACGACUCUAAUGAUUAGAGCUGUCAAAACGGGCGGCCCGACCCGUUUAGGCCCGGCCCGGCCGGGCCAAGGGCUUUUAAGGGUCGGGCUAAAAAGCCCGGUUUGAAUAUGGGCUGCAAAAAAUGAGCCCGAGCCCGGCCCUAUACGGGCUCCCUGGCUAACGGGCCAGCCCUGGCCCGUAUUUUUUCUUCCCUUUUUCAUUCUUUUAAGUACGGAACAUACAUAAAUAUGUCGGGCUAACGGGCCAGCCCGGGCCCGUAUCAGUCUCUCACACACACAGACCACAAAAAAAAAAAAAAGUUGUAUUUUUUGCGGGCUUCCGGGCAGCCCGGAGCCCGGACGGGCUAGCCCUAACGGGCCAAGGGCUUUUACGGGCCGGGCUAAAAAGCCCUCUUCAAUUUCGGGCUCCAAUUAUUCGGCCCAAGCCCUACAUUUUAUUCGGGCUUUCGGGCCGGCCCUUACGACCCGGCCCAUUUUGACAGCUCUACUAAUGAUCAUUUUUCUAAAACAUCAUGAUUUUAUAAUUUGAAAGAGUAAUUCAAAUGAACAUUUGAAAUAAUAAUCUUAAAUGCUUAAUAAAAAUAAAAAGAGUGUUUUCACGAACAUAACUUAGUUGGCAGACUCGGGUGUUGCUAGCAGCUUGCAAGAUGCAGGAGGGUCGCAUGUGCUUUCUUCUGCUAGGCAGUGGGCAAAAUCGCAUCAUGGAAGACUUAAGUACAAUAUAGAUGCGGCGUUUUCGGAAGUUUUAAAUCGUGUUGGUGUUGGGUUAUGCAUCCGGAAUGCUGCUGGAAACUUCAUUAAGGCAAAGACAUUGUGGACUAAUCCCAUAUGUGCACCGGAGAUAGGGGAAGCGUUGGGUCUGCUACCAACAAUUCAUUGGAUACAUGAGCUACAACUUUCAAAUGUAGAUUUGAGAUGGAUGCAAAGAAAGGUGUUGAUUAUUUUCGAGUUUGGAGCAAUAGUGGACGAAUGUAAAAGAUGUUGUAAUGUUUAUUUCGAAAAUUCUAAGGUGGAAUUUAGUCGGAGACAAGUGAGUGAAGUCCCUCAUACUCUUGUCAGAGAGGCCUUGUUCUCCCUAUAAAAAAAAUAACUUAGUUGAGAGAGACUUCCAAUAUACGAAGUUUGAACCUCAAACUUCUCAAUUAUUCACUUUAAAAGAGUGAAUUUCUUACACUUUUAAAAUAGGUCUCACAUUAAGUGUGUAGAUUGCAUGUAUAUAGAUACAAUGUUUUUGUAUCUUAUAAUAAUAAUAAUAAUUUUUUUUUUGAAGAAAUCAAAAUGAAAUUAUAUAACACCAAACAGCAAUACCCAAGCACAAGGUGUGCCUAGAAUACCACUAAAAUACAAGAGUUUAAGUAACAACAAACAGAGGUUUACACUAGGUAGUCAACCCCAAACAAGCAAAAGGGUCGGACCACCAUCUCUGCGUACCAUAAGCAAACACAACUUUUUUAGCUUUCAUCCACCCCAAAGAUAACAAUUUAACCUUAUCUAACAAUUGAGGGACAGUAUUAAAAGAAUUAUUGAAAAGACGGUUGUUACGCUCACUCCACAAAACCCAAGCACACAAAAGCCAAAUAAGCUCCAAGAAUGAUCUUUUUGCUUUAGCAAACCCUGCCAAAUGAGUAAACUGCACAAGAUGGUCUGAAAUGAUGUUAGGGUCCACUCCUGAAAAACCAAUCCAAUCACGCACAUGCUGCCACAAAGAUGCAAAUGUAGUACAAGAUAAAAAUAAAUGACUGGUUGUCUCCACGUGACCACAACCAGAAACACAUAAGAUAUCAUCCGCGGGGACAACCCCACGAAUCGCCAGAUUAGCUUUCGUUGGUAAUCGAUCUCGAAUAAGCCGCCACGCAAAAACUGAAACCUUCAAAGGAACCUGAGGAUGCCACACUAAAUCAAAAGGUAAUCCCAUCUGCGAAUCACCCCCAGACGUCAACAAAUCAUAGGCACCUCUCACAGAGUACCCCUCUGCAGUAUCUGGAAGCCACUCCCAAAAAUCUGAAACAUUAGGAACCAAACAGAUAUCAAAUAGUAACGCCCUACACUCCUCUAGUAAAAGCUCCUCCCAAGCCCACAAACUACGCCUCCACCUCCACCCCUCCCCAUCCUGCUCCAUACCCAAAGAGAACAAAGAGGCCACCGUAAUGGUUUUAUUCUCUGCUAAGUCAAACAAGCGGGGAAACCGCACACAAAGCGGAGUACCUCCAAUCCAUCUAUGCAACCAGAACAACGUCGUCGUACCAUCUCCCACCCUCCGUCUAAUACUAUCACCGAACCACCCUCCACCUGUGUCACCAACGCCAUCACGAAUCCUACCUACCUCCCGCCACCACAAGGAAACACUCCGGCCCCCCACCUCCAACCUCCCACCUACUUCGCCAUAACGGGCGACUAAAAUCUGAUACCACAACUCUUCUCUAUCAACUAACAUCCUCCAACACCAUUUACCUAGUAAAGCAAUAUUAAACUCCUUCAAUCUCCUAACCCCCAAACCUCCAAACUCCUUUUUAGAACAUAAAGAAUCCCAACCUAUCCAAGUAAUUUUUCUACAAUCCUCACUCCCACCCCAGAAAAAAUUAUUCAAUAAAGAUUCAAUGGAAGAGAUUAUACCUGUUGGAGCUUUGAAGAAAGAAAGAGCAUAGACAGGCAGAGAUGUCAGAACUGAUUUUAGGAGAGUCAAACGACCACCAAAAAGAGAGAAACCUACUAUUCCAACCCGACAGUCUAGAUUUAAUGCGAUUAACGAUCGGUUCCCAAAACUGAAGUCUCCGCGGAUUACCACCUAUAGGCAGACCUAGGUACAAAAAAGGAAUUUUACCCACUUUACAACUCAACACCGCCGCUGCCUCAAACAACCAUGAAUCAGAAAUAUUAAUACCCACCAACAAGCUUUUAUUAAAAUUUACUUUCAAUCCAGACAAAGAUUCAAAUAAAACAAGAACAGCUCGAAGUGCCCUCACAUUAGCCCAACUUUUUUCUCCUAAUAAAAGAGUAUCAUCCGCAAAUUGAAGAUGCGUCACCUCGACCUGAUUAAGCGAACCAACCAAAAACCCCUUAAAAAAUUAUUCUCGACCAUAGCUUUCAUCAAAAUAUUGAGUCCUUCAGCCGCUAGCAAAAACAAAAAGGGGGACAGAGGAUCCCCCUGACGUAAACCUCUCUGAAAAUGAAACUCAUCAGUAGGGCUGCCAUUAACAAGAACAGCAGUAGUGGCAGUACUCACACACUCACAAAUCCACUUCCGCCACAAAACCGGAAAAGACAUGCCUUUCAUAAUCGAAUCCAAGUAGUCCCAAUCAAUAGAAUCAUAGGCUUUUUCGAAAUCCACUAUAAAUAACAUAAGCUCCUUCUUAGACUUGCGUGCCUCAUCAACAACCUCGUUAGCAAUAAGGAUUCCGUCCAGAAUUUGGCGAUUUUUAACAAAAGCAGACUGAGUCUCCGCCACCACACUACUCAUCACCAACCUCAAUCUGUUAGCUAGCAAUUUUGCUAAAAUUUUAUACAUACUUCCCACCAAGGAUAUCGGUUGAAAAUCGUUUAACCUCUGAGGAUUAUCCACCUUCGGAAUAAGAACGAUGAAAGUAGCAUUAAUACCUUUAGCCAGCUUACCAUUUCUAUGAAACUCAGAAACGAACCUCAUCACAUCAACUUUCAGCUCAUUCCAAAAUUCUUUUAUAAAACCAAAAUUGACUCCAUCCGGACCUGGACUUUUAAAGCUAUCACAAUCCCAAAUAGCCUCCUUAACUUCCCCCUCGGAAAAAGGUUUAAUAAGACUACCUCCCUCCCCCACCGACAAAGUCCGGAACUGGAGAUUAGAAAUACUAGGUCUCUCCACAUCCUGCGCCUUAAAAUGCUGCGAAAAAUGAUUGAACACCGCCUGUCUAACCGGAUGAACCCCUUCAAUCCUCUCACCGUUAACCAGCACAGAGAUAAUAGCGUUACGUCGUCGACGCGAAGACAAAAUAGAAUGAAAAUAUUUAGAAUUUGCAUCGCCUUCACUAAGCCAUUGAUUCCUCGAUUGUUGCCAACAUAUACUAGUAUUCAACCUAGCCAAGGAAUGCAGAUUAGUCGAAACAUCAUGCAACUCUUUACAGUCGUCAUCAGACAUCACGUCAAAUUCUCCUCUACCAUCUAGAACCGCCAAUCUCUCUUUCAAUGCUGCGAUUUUCGCUGGUAAAUUUUGCGCGUGCGACACAUGCCAAUUUUUCAAAGCCAGUUUGAUCAAUUUGAACUUUUCUUUUAACACAUACCCGCCCCACCCCUCCACUUGAAAAGAACUCCACGUAAUCCUCACAAAUUCCUUAUAACCUGGAUUGUCGGACCAGCAUUUAAGAAAGCGAGACGGACGCGGUCCCUAGUUUUCUUCAUCCACCGAAAGAAUCAAAGGACAGUGGUCAGAUAAUCCUCUCAGGUGAGCAACUUGAAUACAAUAAUAAUAAUAAUAAUAAUAAUAAUAAUAAUAAUAAUAAUAAUAAUAAUAAUAAUAAAAUAAUAAUAGUAAUAAUAAUAAUAAUUCCUUCAAAAUAAUAAUAAUAAUAACAAUAAAACAAACUUGCACGAAAAUGUGGAGCCCUGCCGUGCCAUAUUAAUAUUCUUCACAGCCACAGUUCCAUUUAUGUAUCAUUUGAUUUGAUUAGAAAGUCACUUUAUUUAUUGGAUAUGCUUUGAAUAUCCUUUUUUCGAAGAAGCUAAAAUUGCUUUGAAUAUCCUUAAGAUUGAUACUUGGUGUUUUAAGUUAAAGGAUUUUUGUUUAACACCAAUUGCUUAAAGGAGUCUAACUCGAAAAUUUUAUAUUUAACGUGGACUUUAUGAAAUGAAGAAAAUUUAUAAACAGAAUAAAGAUUGGAGUGAAGAUUUUGUCAAAAAAAAAAAUUGGAGUGAAGAUACUUUGGGGGAACAAUGUGAUUCAAGUACCACCUCCAACGUCUCUCUCAUGUUCAAGGUGCCAUGUAAUUUAAUAUUGUGCAGUCCAUUCAAAUGAUGAAUAAGACCGUGGCUGAUUAAGAAUUUUACAAAACCUUUUUUUACAAAAUAUACAAUUUUAUGAACAAAGCCCUUUAAAAUGGUCUAUAAUAGUUAGGGCAAUGUUUAUUUUUCAAGAUAUGAGGUAUUUUGUAUCAAUGGGAGUUUACAAAUUAAAAAGAUAAUGGAUUAAAAUUAGUACCAACUUAUUCUAUUUUAUUUAUUACAAUUUUUUUUUGGGAAAGCGAAGAAAAUAUAUUAAAUGAACAAAAAUUGUUCCUCUAAUACAAGACGUACCAGAGAAACAAAGAGUCAAAGUAUGUUACAACACAAAACUACUACAAGCACAACAACAAAGAAAACUUAGGAAAUUGCUUUUAAACACAUUAAAGAAUUUAGCAUCCAAGUAAUUGAAAUCAAACAAUACAUAACACGCUUUUAACCACCAAUAAGAAUGAGUUUUGACCUUUUCGAGUAAAGAUGUGAGAAGAUCAGUCUUUUAAUUAAAGAUCCUCCCAUUUCGAUCCUUCCAAAUAAUAUACGGUACUGAUAUCCAGGUAAUAUUGAAAGUCAAAUGAGAGUUUUUUGAAAAUCCACUAACCCCUUAAAUUGGAGAAGACGAUCAGAUAAAUUCCCAUGAGAAGUCAAUGCAAAACCUAACCGGUCUGAAGUAUAAUUCUAAAGGCGACCAUAACAGUCGCAUUUGAAAAACAAACGAUCUAUGUCUUCCAAACAUCCACAAUUAAUCGAGCAAUGAAUAUUUAAUGCAAUAAUACAUUUCUCCAAAAUAAAUUGUUCUUUGUUACAAUCUGAUUUAAUAAUAUGCACCAAAUAAAAAUGUUAACCUUAGUCCCGUGAGCAUAGCUCAGUUGACAGGGACAUACAUUGUGAUAUGCAGGGGCCGGAAUUCGAACCUCAGACACCCCAUUUAUUCUCCUUGAAAAAUGUGAAUUCUAGCAACUAGAUUACUAGAAAAAAAAUUAAAAAAUUGUUAACCUUAAAAUGAAUGACCUUAACCCACCAAUAGAGUCUUUUCACAUUUUAUUCCGAUUGAACAUCUAAUAUGAGGCUUCCAACAUAAUUACUCCCUCCGGUCCUAUUUAUAAGAGAAUUAUCUAUUUAAAAAUUCAGUCCAAAUACAUUCACUUUUAUUGACCUAAAUUUAUCUUAUAAAUAGGAUCGGAGGAAGUAUGUAUUUAAAGCGCAAUAAGGGGGAGCAAAGCAUCAUUCGCUUCAUCUAGUCACUUCCACUUCCACUUAACCACCGACAAAAAAUAUUGAUAUAUACACUACGUACCUUUUUAUACAAACAGACGAAUAUGUCCUCAAACUAAAAUGAUCAAGUUAAAAAUGAAAUAAAGGGUCUCGUGAAUACAAUAAGAGAACCGCUAAUGAGUUUUCUACGUGCACUUUUAAAAUUUUACUUCCUCCGUUUUAAAACGAAUGUUAUUUAAGGUUUUUACACAUAUUAUAAAAUAAAUUAAUUAAAAGAAAGAGAAAUGUUAUUUUACUAAAUUAUCCUAAUUAACUAUUGUUUUAUUUUUUAUUAAAGAAAAAAUAAUACUUUAAAAGUAGUAUAUAAAGUAUUAAUUUAUGGGUAUAAUUGAAAAGGAAAAGUUAUUAUUGCAUUGAAAAUUGAAAGUGACAUUCAUUUUGAAACAUUUUUUCAGUUAAAAACGACAUUCAUUUUAAAACGGAGGAAGUAUAAAGUAAGUUUUUAUCGAAAUUCCUACCUUUAAUAAUUUGAUACUACCUUCGGUCAUAUUUAUAAGAAAAUUUUAACUUUUUAGAUUAACUGAAAAAUUGAUGUAUCUUAUCUAAAAUAUAGACUAAAUAUAUCGUUUAUGCAAUGAAUAAAAAAGUUAAAUAGGAUUGGAGGGAGUAGUAUAUUGGAGUGUUGGUGAGGUCGAACUUGCCUCGAUUUGAACACUUAUCAAAUCUUGGUUUCAUGGUUACUCUCUAUAGAACAUGAAAAAUAAAGAGAUAGGAUAAGAGGAAUAGCUUGUAUAAUGAGUAGGGACAUAUAGGGAGUAGAACAAAUUGUCCUUGUUGUUCUGUUGUUAGCUGCAAAAUUUGACACGUAAUUACUAUAGCCCCAAAUAACCACGCUGGCAAAUCCCACGAGAAAGGCAAAUCCCGAUAGUGUAUAGACAUUGGAUAUAUUCUCAUUUUGAAUAUCAUGACAUUAUCAAUGGAUGAAUGACUCUAUGGUUUGUUGUCCACUUGAGCUAGCUAGCUACAAAUUGUAUGGCCCUACACAUGUGCAGCAACUUAAUACCCAUAUCACAAUCAUGUCACCUCAUCGAUCCAUGAGAAGAAUCAGCGCUGAAAAAGAUGGAUUUGCUUGCUUACAAAUUUUUACAGAUUAGGUAAAAAUAAGAGAAAUAAUCCUUUUUAUCCGGCGUUAACUUGGAACUGCGUACAUCCAAAGCACAUUUUACUAAGAUCAAUGUACUUGUGAUAGUUGAACAACCAUUAUGAUAAUUUUUGUGAUAAUUUUCUCUCUCAUACUCACAUCAUGUUACUCCAUCCGUUCCUUUUUAAGUGUUACUUUUGGAGAAAAUUUUUGUUCCUAUUUAACUGUCACUUUCAAAGUUCAAUGCAACAUUAAAUGUUGUUUUACCAAUAUUCCUUAGUUAUUAAUUGCGAAGAGAGAAAUAUAUGAAAUGAGAUAUUAAAUGAAUAAAGUCAUUAUAGUAAAAGUAUAGUUUAUUGCAUCAAAAUUAGUAUCAAUUGUUGAUUGUCUUGGUUUGUGUAAAAUGUCAAAUUGUGACAAUUAAAAAGGAACGAAGGUAGUAUCAUUUUCUUUCUCUAUUGCUUUGGUUUUUGUGCCAUGACCUACAUUUUUUUUUUUGUAUAUUUUGGUUGUCCCACAAGUUGUCACAUAAAAUGGUUGUUCAAAUAAUAUUCCUCUAAAAAUAAGUGGCUCAUUUUAUCAAGAGCAUGGGCAAAAUAUAAGCUACACAACUAUAGUAAAAAACGGUGUUUCUUCCAAAGAGAGGAAGUAGUGGAUCAAUCCCAAUUCUCAAGUUCUCGAAAGAAAAGCACAGGGCCAUUACUUUUUCCACCAUAUGACCUUCUCGCACGCCCUAUGCAAAUCACCAAAAUGCCCUUCAGAUUUUAUAAUCCAGAACAUUUAUGCGUAUUCCGGAAUUUAUAUUCCGGACAACUGCGAAGUAUAAAAGAGACUUCACCCCCCAUUUUUACAGUUUUACAGUUCCACAUUCAACAUUCACUCUCUCUCUACAUUAUCCCAAAAUCCGAACACCACAAAUCUUGUCCAAAUUUGGAGUUUUGUUGCUCAAAAGCACCGCAUUUCAACCCUUGUCAACCAGCAUGGAAGGUUAAUUCGAUUUAUGUACAUUUGCAUGGUUAAUUUGGUAGUUUUAUUUUUGGAAUUCUGGUCGGGUGCAAUCCGGAUUUCACUUUCCAGACUGGAUUGUUGAUGUCUGGAAUUUGAAAUCCGGACGAACCCAAAAUGUUUUUUUUUGCUUCUGUUAUGUGCUGUUUGAUUUCCCUAAUUUGAACCCAAAAUGUUUUUUUUGCUCCUAUCUAAUACUCGGCGCGUAAGGGAGGCAGGGCAUGCAUCCCGUAGGAAAGCGCGUAGCCAACGGCUAGAGGAUGAAGGUGGUGUUCCUCCGAGGCGUCGGGGUGCUAGAGGGCGUUGUGCUGAUGUCGAGCCUAGUGUCGACCAUCAGCCGGAGCAGCAAGAGUAUAUGGACUUGCAGCAAGAGCAGCCUGAUGUGGGCUUGCAGCACAUGGAGGAGCAGGAGCUUGAGGAGGAGUUGCAUGCUAUGGACGUGGAAAUGGAAGAUGCAGAGCCACGAAAAAGGCAAAAGAAGGAGAAGGUGGUGGACCCUGAGCCACUAGAUGACUAUCCUGGUGGGCCACACGAGACUGGCCUCCUAUGGAAGUACCAUGUGCACGUAGCCAGGAAGGCGGCUGAUGGCGAGAUAUUUAUUAAUGUUAAACUCACUUAAUUAAUGUUAAUCUGUGUGAAAAUAAUGUUGAUAUUUGUGAAACUUCCUGUUUAUGUAAUGUGAAAUUUGUUUGUGAAGCCAUAAGUUUAAACUCACUUUGUUAAUUUUAAUUAUUUGCAGUGGAGUGGAAAAUUAAAAUGCAUCAACAAUGGAAAGAAGAUAGAAGAGAUGCAUGAUGAUGACACAA